UCCUUCCGGUCUUGGUCCUUUUGCAGGCGGUCCAGUUGCCGGUGGCCCCGCUGGUGUGGGUGGAGCAUUUGGUGGCGGCUUCAGCGUUUCCGGUGGCGGUUUUGGCGGUGCUGGACGCGGAGGAGGCGGUAAAAAAUAUUAGACUGGUCCGAUAGAAGACAGUCGUUCACAAAAUAUCAGCGACCAUAAGGUGUCGAUGUCCACUGGCACCUUAUCUCACUACCCGACGAUGAAGACGACGGAUUGUUCAACCGACGAGAUUGUAUGCCCUCUGUAGCUUAUUGCUUUUUGAUUGAAAUUGCUUUUAAUCAAUAUUGUUUUCCCUUAUAUCCGCUUUGAUGCAUAUAUUUCCUACAUAUUUUCGCAAUAAAUUAUUGCUUGAAAAUGCCUUGCUUUUUUGGAAUCCGUAAUGAACAACUAUCAUACUCAAUAAAAACGAAACAACAACAA
This is a long non-coding RNA of Dreissena polymorpha, 450 nucleotides long. RefSeq lists it as uncharacterized. The transcript has 2 exons. The record is from RefSeq and is a predicted model, not a curated record. NCBI's taxonomy places the organism in Eukaryota, Metazoa, Mollusca, Bivalvia, Myida, Dreissenidae.